UACGUAGGGUGCAAGCGUUAAUCGGAAUUACUGGGCGUAAAGCGCGUGUAGGCGGCUUUGCAAGUCGGAUGUGAAAUCCCACGGCUCAACCGUGGAAGUGCAUCCGAAACUGCAUCGCUGGAGUCUCGGAGAGGAAGGUGGAAUGCUUGGUGUAGAGGUGAAAUUCGUAGAUAUCAAGCAGAACACCUGCGGCGAAGGCGGCCUUCUGGACGAUGACUGACGCUGAGACGCGAAAGCGUGGGGAGCAAACAGG
This 253-nucleotide ribosomal RNA is filed under the name uncultured bacterium. RNAcentral describes it as "partial 16S ribosomal RNA". It matches the Rfam family "Bacterial small subunit ribosomal RNA", at positions 524 to 776 of the family's 1533-position model. The record is from RNAcentral.